Molecule: non-coding RNA, 111 nt
Filed under: Burkholderia ubonensis
Lineage: Bacteria; Pseudomonadati; Pseudomonadota; Betaproteobacteria; Burkholderiales; Burkholderiaceae
Description: Burkholderia sRNA 1
Rfam family: Burkholderia sRNA 1
About the family: Identified by RNA-seq, RACE and Northern blot.
Source: RNAcentral
AGUUCUGAUGCACCGCGAAACGAAUUUUGCAGGUGGAGAACGAGGAGACAAUCGAGGCACAAAGUGCCCGGACCCAAAGCGCUGUUGGACGGAAUCCAACAGCGCUUUUUC